GCGCUGUUAGGCUAGUGGUAAACCGGGGUCUGGUUCUUGAUUUCCAAUCAAAUGACCCAGUCGGGGGUUCAAAUCCCCCACAGUGCA
RNAcentral lists this transfer RNA (87 nucleotides) under Puccinia graminis f. sp. tritici CRL 75-36-700-3. Its description in RNAcentral is "tRNA-Gly (TCC) (tRNA-Gly-TCC-4-1)". It matches the Rfam family "tRNA". From Rfam's summary of the family: Transfer RNA (tRNA) molecules are approximately 80 nucleotides in length. Their secondary structure includes four short double-helical elements and three loops (D, anti-codon, and T loops). Further hydrogen bonds mediate the characteristic L-shaped molecular structure. tRNAs have two regions of fundamental functional importance: the anti-codon, which is responsible for specific mRNA codon recognition, and the 3' end, to which the tRNAs corresponding amino acid is attached (by aminoacyl-tRNA synthetases). tRNAs cope with the degeneracy of the genetic code in two manners: having more than one tRNA (with a specific anti-codon) for a particular amino acid; and 'wobble' base-pairing, i.e. permitting non-standard base-pairing at the 3rd anti-codon position. Lineage: Eukaryota; Fungi; Basidiomycota; Pucciniomycetes; Pucciniales; Pucciniaceae. The record is from RNAcentral.